CGGGAUAGUGCCGCUUUGCAUGGCUGACUCGAAAUCAGGCGUAGUGGCAACACUACCGUGGGUUCGAAUCCCACCCUCUCCGCCA
This 85-nucleotide transfer RNA is filed under the name Paracidovorax avenae. RNAcentral describes it as "tRNA-Ser". The record is from RNAcentral. Lineage: Bacteria; Pseudomonadati; Pseudomonadota; Betaproteobacteria; Burkholderiales; Comamonadaceae.